RNAcentral lists this transfer RNA (72 nucleotides) under Camelus bactrianus (Bactrian camel). It matches the Rfam family "tRNA". Rfam says of the family: Transfer RNA (tRNA) molecules are approximately 80 nucleotides in length. RNAcentral also lists the same sequence under 2 other names. Lineage: Eukaryota; Metazoa; Chordata; Mammalia; Artiodactyla; Camelidae. The record is from Rfam by way of RNAcentral.
GAGGGUAUAGCUCAGUGGUAGAGCACAUGCUUAGCAUGCAUGAGGUCCUGAGUUCAAGCCCCAGUACCUCCA